RNAcentral lists this small RNA (25 nucleotides) under Bombyx mori (domestic silkworm). Its description in RNAcentral is "ovarian small RNA-11578". Lineage: Eukaryota; Metazoa; Arthropoda; Insecta; Lepidoptera; Bombycidae. The record is from RNAcentral.
ACGGGGCUCAAACCUGACGAUGUUG